GUCCACGCCCUAAACGAUGUCAACUAGGUGUCGGGAGCGCAAGUUCUUGGUACCGCAGCUAACGCGUGAAGUUGACCGCCUGGGGAGUACGGUCGCAAGAUUAAAACUCAAAGGAAUUGACGGGGACCCGCACAAGCGGUGGAUGAUGUGGAUUAAUUCGAUGCAACGCGAACAACCUUACCUACCCUUGACAUGUCCAGGAGGCGGCUGAAAGGUCGCUGUGCCCGCAAGGGAAUUGGAACACAGGUGCUGCAUGGCUGUCGU
RNAcentral lists this ribosomal RNA (264 nucleotides) under uncultured bacterium. RNAcentral's name for it is "partial 16S ribosomal RNA". It matches the Rfam family "Bacterial small subunit ribosomal RNA", at positions 793 to 1055 of the family's 1533-position model. The record is from RNAcentral.